Molecule: long non-coding RNA, 287 nt
Filed under: Elaeis guineensis (African oil palm)
Lineage: Eukaryota; Viridiplantae; Streptophyta; Magnoliopsida; Arecales; Arecaceae
Description: long non-coding RNA (EGUI_LNC006191)
Source: RNAcentral
UCAUAGUCGGUCAUCCCGACUCUGUGUUGGCAGCUAACGAUGGACAAGUACAGUUAGAUUGAUGAAUGAGCUCCGGUUCAACUACUGUUUUUAUGAGUCUCGACACCCGACAUUCUGUCAGCACCAUAGACAUAGACAACCGACUGUCAAUCGAUAACCCGACUAGCUGUCGGCUUGACUUUUCAAGUGACUAUAAAGACUUGAUCUAGCACAUAGCCGAUGGUCAGUUGAAAUAUCAGAGUUACCGAUCGAUAGCCAAUCGGUAUAUUAAAGAUAUUGACAUACAG